RNAcentral lists this ribosomal RNA (321 nucleotides) under Triticum aestivum (bread wheat). RNAcentral's name for it is "partial small subunit ribosomal RNA". Lineage: Eukaryota; Viridiplantae; Streptophyta; Magnoliopsida; Poales; Poaceae. The record is from RNAcentral.
AUGAGACCACAUCAGUUGGCAUGUAUUACCGCAGAAAAAGAAAGCCUUCCGACCCCAUCAAUAAUCUUUCACUUACUGCAAAAUGCAAAUACGAUUCGCAGUUGGGGAUGUGGCAGUGUUACCGAGGAGUGGGACAGCUUGUAUCCUCAGAAGGUCCAAUUGUUAACUUUGCUUUCUACUCUGCCCGAGCCCGCUCUGAGUUAUGGGCCGAGUGUUAAAACUAAUAUGGCCAAUUCUAUCGAGCAAAGAGAACAGAAAAAGAGUGACAUAAUAAUUCUUCAUUCGGAUGAUGAUGAUGAAAGCACAGGAGCACACAAAUAA